This 374-nucleotide ribosomal RNA is filed under the name uncultured bacterium. RNAcentral's name for it is "bacterial SSU rRNA". It matches the Rfam family "Bacterial small subunit ribosomal RNA", at positions 524 to 898 of the family's 1533-position model. The record is from RNAcentral.
UACGUAGGGGGCGAGCGUUGUCCGGAAUUACUGGGCGUAAAGGGUGCGCAGGCGGUUAAUUAAGUCUUAUGUGAAAUACCCGGGCUUAACCUGGGGGUUGCAUGGGAAACUGGAUAACUUGAGUGCAGGAGAGGCAAGUGGAAUUCCUAGUGUAGCGGUGAAAUGCGUAGAUAUUAGGAGGAACACCAGUGGCGAAGGCGACUUGCUGGACUGCAACUGACGCUGAGGCACGAAAGCGUGGGUAGCAAACAGGAUUAGAUACCCUGGUAGUCCACGCUGUAAACGAUGGAUACUAGGUGUAGGGGAGUCAAAUCCUCUGUGCCGGAGCAAACGCAAUAAGUAUCCCGCCUGGGGAGUACGGCCGCAAGGUUGAA